AUUUUAAAAGUGACCAGAAAUUCCUGAACAAAGUAGUCAGCAAGAGUAAACUGGUGCAAGAAAGUCAGACUGGAUAAAGAAGAGAUCUGGCCUAGAACUGGAAGAAAGAUGAUAUUUUAAGGCAAGAAGCCAGCCCAACCCAAGAUAGCAGAGAUCCUGGAUUAUUUUGAGACAGACUUAGAAGGAUCCAUUUCAUGAAAAAUGUCCUAGAAAUAUGACAGUCAGACUCUCGUGUUAAAGGCCAUGUAGUCCAACCAUCCACUUGUGCUGAAAUCGCUCACAACAUCCCCACCAAGUGGUCGCCCUUGCCUACAUUCUUCUAUUUUCCGUUCUCCAGUGUUCUUCUAUCUUUUGGAGCUCUACAGAAGGCCAUGAAGCACACCAUCAGAUGUUUGAAGGUGGCACGUGGGGUGAUGGUGCUAAUAUCGCUAUACAAGCCAUGCAGGGCCCUUUCUUCAUUUUGCCCGUCUUUAAAGGGUGGAAGUUCUGGAGAGAGUCACUACAUAGAUAAUGUGAGGAGGAUCUCUG
Molecule: long non-coding RNA, 528 nt
Filed under: Homo sapiens (human)
Lineage: Eukaryota; Metazoa; Chordata; Mammalia; Primates; Hominidae
Description: non-protein coding MID1IP1-AS1:9
Source: RNAcentral